GGGGGUGUAGCUCAUCUGGUAGAGCGCGUGCUUAGCAUUUCCGCCCCGACGAGUCAUUGUUCAGGUUUACAUGUUACCUGCACGAGGUACUGGGUUCGACUCCCAGCUCCUCCA
Molecule: non-coding RNA, 114 nt
Organism: Coniochaeta sp. 2T2.1
Lineage: Eukaryota; Fungi; Ascomycota; Sordariomycetes; Coniochaetales; Coniochaetaceae
Source: the annotation of a GenBank genome assembly